RNAcentral lists this ribosomal RNA (491 nucleotides) under uncultured bacterium. RNAcentral describes it as "partial 16S ribosomal RNA". It matches the Rfam family "Bacterial small subunit ribosomal RNA", at positions 29 to 507 of the family's 1533-position model. The record is from RNAcentral.
AGUGAACGCUGGCGGUAGGCCUAACACAUGCAAGUCGAACGGCAGCACAGUAAGAGCUUGCUCUUACGGGUGGCGAGUGGCGGACGGGUGAGGAAUACAUCGGAAUCUACUUUUUCGUGGGGGAUAACGUAGGGAAACUACGCUAAUACCGCAUACGACCUACGGGUGAAAGCAGGGGAUCUUCGGACCUUGCGCGAUUGAAUGAGCCGAUGUCGGAUUAGCUAGUUGGCGGGGUAAAGGCCCACCAAGGCGACGAUCCGUAGCUGGUCUGAGAGGAUGAUCAGCCACACUGGAACUGAGACACGGUCCAGACUCCUACGGGAGGCAGCAGCGGGGAAUAUUGGACAAUGGGCGCAAGCCUGAUCCAGCCAUACCGCGUGGGUGAAGAAGGCCUUCGGGUUGUAAAGCCCUUUUGUUGGGAAAGAAAAGCAGCAGGUUAAUACCCCGCUGUUCUGACGGUACCCAAAGAAUAAGCACCGGCUAACUUCGUG